UACAACUCUUAUCGAUAAGCCAUUGGAGGGCAAGUCUGGUGCCAGCAGCCGCGGUAAUUCCAGCUCCAAUAGCGUAUAUUAACGUUGUUGCAGUUAAAAAGCUCGUAGUUGAAGUGUGGGUGAUCGCUGUUGUGAGACUUCGGUCUCUCGACAGUAAGUCACCCCCUUCCAGUAUCCAGUAGUGGGUAUUCAGUUACUUACUACUGUGUGUUGGUCGUUUACUGUGAGAAAAUUAGAGUGUUCAAAGCAGGCGUUUGCUUGAAUAGAUUAGCAUGGAAUAAUAAUUGAAGGCUUUCGUGUUCGAUUUGAUUGGUUUGUUCAUGGAAGCAAGGUUAAAAGGAACAGUUGGGGGUAUUCAUAUUCACUAGUUAGAGGUGAAAUUCUCGGAUUUAUGGAAGAUGAAC
RNAcentral lists this ribosomal RNA (404 nucleotides) under Blastocystis sp. OPTMD_94. Its description in RNAcentral is "SSU rRNA". It matches the Rfam family "Eukaryotic small subunit ribosomal RNA", at positions 526 to 940 of the family's 1831-position model. Lineage: Eukaryota; Bigyra; Opalinata; Blastocystidae. The record is from RNAcentral.